AUGAACAGAGGCGGCUCCAUCCCAUUUCUGCUCAUUUCCCAGUGCGGUUACCUGGGGGCACGCCCCGGGGCCGCUGGCCCUCACCACAGGCCCGCCCCACACCCCCCGGGCUCUUCCCUCCCGCCACCCUUGGCACCGCCUUGGGUUCGGAGCAGGAGGGGUGGGCAGGGGCUCCUCCUGGCAUUCACCCCCUCCUGCCCACCUGCCGUCUCCAUCAGCUCCAGGGAGCUCCGCACGGCCCUGGGCCAGGGUCACACUACGUAUCCACGGGAUCCCCAGAACCGGCCACUGUUAGAGACUGGCCAGGAAGGGGGAGUGGGACGGGCAGCCCAGAACCCUGUCCUUCCCCGCGGACCCCGGGGCUCCAGAGGGGCCAGGGAUCCGGGGGCCCGGCGUCCCCUUCCUCCCGCUUCCACCCCUCAGGCCAUCGCGCCCAGCACCCUCCCCGCCUCCCUGGCACAAGGAGCACACGGCGGAGCCCUACAGAGUGAAUCCAGGCCCUGUCGCCAGUCCUCUGGCAGAUGUCGGGGCCCCGGGGUCCCCCCGGGGGCACCCCGCCUGCUCACCCAGCUGGGGGCCUGGCUCCCCCGUCCAGUGCUGACGCACCGCACGGACUUUGCAGCCCGCCUUCCCUGGACCCGGGCCCGGGCCACCCGCCCUCGUGGGGAUCCAUGUGGCAGUGACGGCGGGGACCAGGCUCCUGCCCCCGCUGCUGCCUGGCCUCUCUGCCGGGUGCCGAGGGCCCGGGGUGAGGGAGGGCACCACACUGGGGGCCGCAGCCCUGGGCAGCCGAGGGGACAGGCUGGGGGGCAGGGGACCAGCGUCCCCGCUGCCCUCUGCAGCACCCGCCCUCCGCAGCCCCACACUGCAAGCUCCGCUGCCCCCCGGGGUGUGGGUCCACCUUGGCCUGGCCCACACACACCUGCGGGGCGCAGUGGAGGCUGUGGGACGUCCCCGCCCAGCACCCAGCUGCUGGGGAAGAGGGCCUGGGGGCUGCAGACAGAGGCGAGUGUGAGGCACCAGGAUACAUUUAACACACGGAGCUUCUAG
This 1050-nucleotide long non-coding RNA is filed under the name Canis lupus familiaris (dog). RNAcentral describes it as "lncRNA (ENSCAFG00040015037.1)". Lineage: Eukaryota; Metazoa; Chordata; Mammalia; Carnivora; Canidae. The record is from RNAcentral.